Molecule: ribosomal RNA, 497 nt
Filed under: uncultured bacterium
Lineage: Bacteria
Description: partial 16S ribosomal RNA
Rfam family: Bacterial small subunit ribosomal RNA
Source: RNAcentral
GAUGAACGCUGGCGGCGUGCCUAAUACAUGCAAGUCGAGCGAACGGACGAGAAGCUUGCUUCUCUGAUGUUAGCGGCGGACGGGUGAGUAACACGUGGAUAACCUACCUAUAAGACUGGGAUAACUUCGGGAAACCGGAGCUAAUCCCGGAGAAUCUUUUGAACCGCAUGGGUCAAAAGUGAAAGACGGUCGUGCGGUCACUUAUAGAUGGAUCCGCGCUGCAUGAGCUGGUUGGUCAGGUAACGGCCUACCAAGGCAACGAUGCAUAGCCGACCUCAGAGAGUGGUCGGCCACCCGGGAGCGUGGACACGCUCCAGACUCCUGCGGGAGGCCGCAGUCGGGAAUCUUCCGCAAUGGGCGAAAGCCUGACGGAGCAACGCCGCGUGAGUGAUGGCGGCCUUCGGAUCGUAAUGCUCUGUUAUUAGUGAAGAACAUAUGUGUAAGUAACUGUGCACAUCUUGACGGUACCUAAUCAGAAAGCCCCGGCUAACUACGUG